RNAcentral lists this ribosomal RNA (461 nucleotides) under uncultured ammonia-oxidizing beta proteobacterium. RNAcentral describes it as "bacterial SSU rRNA". It matches the Rfam family "Bacterial small subunit ribosomal RNA", at positions 202 to 645 of the family's 1533-position model. Lineage: Bacteria; Pseudomonadati; Pseudomonadota; Betaproteobacteria. The record is from RNAcentral.
AAAGUAGGGGAUCGCAAGACCUUGCGCUUUUGGAGUGGCCGAUGCCUGAUUAGCUAGUUGGUGGGGUAAGGGCCUACCAAGGCGACGAUCAGUAGUUGGUCUGAGAGGACGACCAGCCACACUGGGACUGAGACACGGCCCAGACUCCUACGGGAGGCAGCAGUGGGGAAUUUUGGACAAUGGGCGAAAGCCUGAUCCAGCAAUGCCGCGUGAGUGAAGAAGGCCUUCGGGUUGUAAAGCUCUUUCAGUCGAGAAGAAAAGGUCGCGACUAAUAAUCGCGACUCAUGACGGUAUCGACAGAAGAAGCACCGGCUAACUACGUGCCAGCAGCCGCGGUAAUACGUAGGGUGCGAGCGUUAAUCGGAAUUACUGGGCGUAAAGGGUGCGCAGGCGGCUUUGUAAGUCAGAUGUGAAAUCCCCGGGCUUAACCUGGGAAUUGCGUUUGAAACUACAAAGCUAGA